Molecule: ribosomal RNA, 253 nt
Filed under: uncultured bacterium
Lineage: Bacteria
Description: partial 16S ribosomal RNA
Rfam family: Bacterial small subunit ribosomal RNA
Source: RNAcentral
UACAGAGGGGGCAAGCGUUGUUCGGAAUUACUGGGCGUAAAGGGCUCGUAGGUGGCCAACUAAGUCAGACGUGAAAUCCCUCGGCUCAACCGGGGAACUGCGUCUGAUACUGGGUGGCUUGAAUCCGGGAGAGGGAUGCGGAAUUCCAGGUGUAGCGGUGAAAUGCGUAGAUAUCUGGAGGAACACCGGUGGCGAAGGCGGCAUCCUGGACCGGCAUUGACGCUGAGGCGCGAAAGCCAGGGGAGCGAACCGG